Molecule: unclassified non-coding RNA, 89 nt
Filed under: Pseudomonas mandelii
Lineage: Bacteria; Pseudomonadati; Pseudomonadota; Gammaproteobacteria; Pseudomonadales; Pseudomonadaceae
Source: RNAcentral
UGUAGGAGCGAGCCUGCUCGCGAUGGCGUCGGCACAUCCAACAUUAAUGUGACUGACAGGGCGCUAUCGCGAGCAGGCUCGCUCCUACG